ACGGCCGUACCAUGCUGAAUAUACCGGUUCUCGUUAGAUCACCGAAGUUAAGCAACAUUGGGCGCGGUCAGUACUUGGGUGGGUGACCACCUGGGAACACUGCGUGCCGUU
RNAcentral lists this ribosomal RNA (111 nucleotides) under Caerostris darwini. The record is from RNAcentral. Lineage: Eukaryota; Metazoa; Arthropoda; Arachnida; Araneae; Araneidae.